This 467-nucleotide ribosomal RNA is filed under the name uncultured bacterium. RNAcentral describes it as "SSU rRNA". It matches the Rfam family "Bacterial small subunit ribosomal RNA", at positions 26 to 523 of the family's 1533-position model. The record is from RNAcentral.
AGAACGAACGCUGGCGGCAUGCCUAACACAUGCAAGUCGAACGCUUGCCCGGUUUCGGCCGGGCAGGAGUGGCGCACGGGUGAGUAGCGCGUGGGAACCUGCCCUGUUGUGGGGGAUAACCGAGGGAAACUUCGGCUAAUACCGCAUGCGCCCGGAGCAAUCCGGGGAAAGAUUUAUCGCAGCAGGAGGGGCCCGCGUCGGAUUAGGUAGUUGGUGGGGUAACGGCCCACCAAGCCUGUGAUCCGUAGCUGGUCUGAGAGGAUGAUCAGCCACACUGGGACUGAGACACGGCCCAGACUCCUACGGGAGGCAGCAGUGGGGAAUAUUGGACAAUGGGCGCAAGCCUGAUCCAGCAAUGCCGCGUGAGUGAUGAAGGCCUUAGGGUUGUAAAGCUCUUUCGCCCGCGACGAUGAUGACGGUAGCGGGAGAAGAAGCCCCGGCUAACUUCGCGCCAGCAGCCGCGGUAA